UAGGCGCGUGAGAGAACGCUUGCUAAGGAACUCGGCAAAAUAGCACCGUAACUUCGGGAGAAGGUGUGCCCGCCGACGUGAUGGAACUUGCUUCCUGAGCGUUGGCGGGUCGCAGUGAAAUGGGGGUUGCGACUGUUUACUAAAAACACAGGACUGUGCGAACUCGUAAGAGGACGUAUACGGUCUGACGCCUGCCCGGUGCUGGAAGGUUAAGGGGAGAGGUUAGCGCAAGCGAAGCUUCGAACCGAAGCCCCAGUAAACGGCGGCCGUAACGAUAACGGUCCUAAGGUAGCAAAAUUCCUUGUCGGGUAAGUUCCGACCUGCACGAGGGCGUAACGACAUCCCUACUGUCUCGGCCAGCGACUCAGCGAAAUUGUAUCGGGGGUGAAGAUACCCUCUACCCGCGGCAAGACGGAAAGACCCCAUGAACCUUUACUGCAACUUGGCAGUGAGGUUCGGAACAGUCUGCGUAGGAUAGGUAGGAGGCUUUGAAGUCGGGAUUCCGGUCUCGAUGGAGCCGUCGUUGAAAUACUACCCUGGCUUUUCUGGACUUCUAACCUAGGCCCCUCAACGGGGUCGGGGACACUGCCUGGUGGGCAGUUUGACUGGGGCGGUCGCCUCCCAAACAGUAACGGAGGCGCGCGAAGGUACCCUCAGGCUGAUUGGAAACCAGCCGGCGAGUGCAAUGGCACAAGGGUGCUUAACUGUGAGAGGGACACCUCGAGCAGGUGCGAAAGCAGGCCAUAGUGAUCCGGUGGUCCCGCAUGGAAGGGCCAUCGCUCAUCGGACAAAAGGUACUCUGGGGAUAACAGGCUGAUCGCGCCUGAGAGUCCAUAUCGGCGGCGCGGUUUGGCACCUCGAUGUCGGCUCAUCGCAUCCUGGGGCUGGAGCAGGUCCCAAGGGUUUGGCUGUUCGCCAAUUAAAGCGGUACGCGAGCUGGGUUUAGAACGUCGUGAGACAGUUCGGUCCCUAUCUGCCGUGGGCGCAGGAUACUUGAGAGGAGCUGUUCAUAGUACGAGAGGACCUGAACGGACGCACCUCUAGUGUUCCGGUUGUCAUGCCAAUGGCAUAGCCGGGUAGCUAUGUGCGGAACGGAUAACCGCUGAAAGCAUCUAAGCGGGAAGCCGGCCUCAAGACAAGGUAUCCCGGGGCAUAAGCCCCCUGAAGGCCCCUUGAAGACUACAAGGUGAUAGGCGGGAGGUAGAAGCGCAGCGAUGCGCGGAGCUGACCCGUACUAAUAGGCCGUGCGGCUUGACCU
Molecule: ribosomal RNA, 1258 nt
Filed under: metagenome
Description: bacterial LSU rRNA
Rfam family: Bacterial large subunit ribosomal RNA
Source: RNAcentral